UAUGCAAAAGGCCUAGAAAGCCACAUACAGAGAGGUAAAUGAGAUGAGAUUAUUUUUGUCAUUUGGUUGUUUCUUGGAUUUAGAGGUCAUCACCCUCACUCAGGACAACUCCCCUAAGCUGUGAGCAGGAAAUACCUCAAUAUCAGGCCCAAUGGCCCAGAUUGAAGACAUAAUCCUUUGGCCCAGGACUCACCAAUAGAUUCCAGAAGGCACGGUGUGGGUGGCCUUCCACUAUCAAUCAAUGGUUGGGCGUCUCUGUUUGUGACUCCUUGCCACCCAAGCUUAUAGGUCUCUCAGAUGCAGCCUGUAUGGAGACCUUUGGCCAUCAGACCUUCACAGUUUCUAACCACCCACCAGGAGACUCGGGAAGUAUCCAUAAAAACUUGCUUUUAUGGCUACUACACCCCCUUGAGUAUGGUCAUUAGGAUUAUUUAGCGUUUAUGAGACACCCUUUGUGUAGCAAGGCCAAGGGGAAGGCAAUUUGGCAGCCUCAACACAAACGGAUGUUUCUAUGUAACCCCACUCUGAGGCUGAUCCUUCCCAGUGAGAUUAGUUCAUUUCAACCUCAAUGAGGAGCUCAUAGGCUAGGACAAAGUUUUUCUCUCCUCCUGUAUGUUAAUCUAGGCAUCUCCAAAGGAACCCUAAUCAGAACCCAGAGGAGAGAAACUUCCAAUGACCUUUGUAAGACAAAUGCUUGUGUUGACUCAUGCUCUGAGUGGCAUUGCUGAGCAAAGUCCUUCAUUCUUUUUAUCUCACUUAGUGACGUAUACACCUGACUUGAUGCCAGACCUUGUGUCCGGUCUCGACACUGUAGAGGUUUAUAAGCCAGCUUGUACCCACAGAGCUUAGAUGUGACUGGAAGGUAGACAUGGGAAUAGAAAUAUAAAACAGAUAAUGUAUUAGAGCCAAGUCCACCAAGUGUGGAGGCCUAGUGAGCAAGACAGGGUAGGAAGGUUUUCCAGGAGGGUAAGCCUAGAUGUCAUUGAAUGGAUAAUGAGUUUGUCGAUGCUUUCAUGUGGACCUUUGCAGGAAGAUGGACUGGCUGAGCACAGGCUGGCUUUGAACUCAGUAUGAAGGCAAGGAUGACCUCAUCUUUCUGAUCCUUCUGCCUCCACCUUCUAUGUACUAGGAUUGUAGGUAUGUACCACACCUGAUUUUUAUGCUGUACGGGAUAUUAAACUCCGGGUUUCAUGCAUGCUAAGUAAGCACUUUACCACGUGAACUGUACACCCAGCCCUCAGAUCUGUAUUGAGAUACUGUACCCCUGAAGUGAUCUGUAAAUAUGGCAGGUCUUGCAGGCAUCAGUCACAGGCUGCGUGCUGGAGCACCGAAAGCAGGGAAACCAUCAGACUGUGGUUUUCCCUCACAGGAGGCCUUUGUUAUCUUUGCUGACCCGCAUCUGCCAGCUGUAGUGGGACUUCUGCUAUCUGUCACCUCCCCCUAGGAAUGCCAGGAUGUUUGAAAUAUACCACAAAUCCCCAUGUACACCAGAAGUAGGUGGGGCUUCCUGAACUCUGCCCACCCCACCCUCAGUCCCCUCCACCUCCAUGUGUUUCUCAUUAGAGGGUUGAUGGAAGGGGCUGCUGAACUUGGUAGAUUUAUCAUCAUUCUGCCUUCCUCGGGCUCAGAAAGUUUGUGGUCUUAAAGGGAAAGUGGCUUUGACAAAGAAAGUUCAGUUCUUAGGCAAAAAUGACAUUUAAGGCUAUGUCUGAGCAUUGGUUACCUUGCUUCAUUGCUUUGGUUUGUUAAACUUGUUUUCCAUGGCAGGUGCAUUCUGCUCUGGGAGGACAGAGUAGCAUUUGAAGGCAUUUCUUUGGGGCAGAUGAAAUUGGUGAAAUAGAGCUAGUUUGAGCGCAAGGAUGGUGACUUUGGAGUCGGAACCAUGAAUAGCCCUUCCCUUAUCUGUAGAGAACGGUAACUCCUGCGGUUUUAAUUUUUUAGCUCACUGUCUCUGUGGCAGUGCCCCUGCCUGUUAGCAGCUGGGCUGACCCCUCCUGUUUAUGGCAGGCUGUACAUACACAGCUAACUCAGCAGGGCCUGAGACUUGUGUAUUAUAGGCCUUCUAACCUAGUCAUUUUCCUUUCCUCUUCCCACAAUAGACUGCCUUCUGCCCCAUGAUAAGCACUCUAUCAUUCAUGACUGAAAUCAGUCAUGGGACAUGUUGGUGGAGGUUCCGGAAUGUUCUGGGAACUUUUCCUUAAGGGUCAUAACCAGUAAGACAUAAUUUCUGAUGAAUCAACUCUUGUGAUAUGGUAUCAGCAAGGUAACAGACCAUAAAUAGCAGAAGGAAACGAAGAUUAAUGUGGUUAUGUCCCUGUGGUAUCUGGGUAGGAAGGAGCCAAGGGGCUCCUUGGGGAAGUAGCUGGAAGCCAGGGGUGAUAAGCUCAAGGUGGGUGAAAGGGGGGCUCUGAUGUUGACUGCCUCGACACUCAUUGCAGCCUCUGUCACUAACUAGCUGUGGGAUCUGAGGCAAUUCAUCUUCUCUCUGUGAGUCACAUUCUCUCAGCUCAAAGGAUGGAGGUGAUGGUGGAGGUUAUGUGCGCCGUGCUACUGUGAAUAUGAGAGAGAGCGAAGGGACUUUAGCACAGAGAUGGACAUGUGGAAAAAGCCCAGUUCAUGCCAAGGUAACAAUCAUAAUAGCUCACAGAAACUGCCUGCUCACAAGGGCCAAGGAUUAUUUUAAGUGACUUAACCCAUGAGGUUAGUAUGUUCUUCAAACUCACUUUGAGUUGAAGGAAUGACACAAAGUUACACAGCAAUUAGUGGUAGCGCUGAGAUUGCCCUGAAAGCUCAUAGCUUCCACUAUUUCUAUUACAGGCAUGAAUAAAAGGGCACAAUUUUAAUAAUACAGAAAUAUGAAUUGAUAUGCAGAAUACAUAGAUAAAAAUAUAAAAUCUUUAUAACAGAAGUUAUCUUAAAACUUUCAGAUACCAGGGGACAGAACUUUUAUACUGAAACUGUUUAAUUAACCCUUAGAUUAGGCUUGGGGGAAAUGUAUUAAGUAUCCAGUGGAUGUUAAGAGAAGGAAGGAGUUACUGCAGCGAUGCACAGCUUACAUCCUUUCUCCGCACCCCACUGCCUCUAAGAAAUUCACUCAAGGUCAAGUUGUAUAGGUCUCAAGAUAUCCCAGAGUCCAACCAUCCGGGCCAACCAAAACCCUGUGCUCGAGGCGUCUUCUAACGUCCGUCAGGGAAGAACGUCUAUGAGACAGCGGAUGCAAACUGAGUAACGAGCAGGAUUCUCAAAGGAAGUGAUGAGGGGCAAUAGGAAAAGUACUGGUGGAUCUGAUGGUCUGUGAAGCCGAGGAAAUCAGGGAACACGGAAGACGGAUAGGAGAGCCUAUAUUUAAAACUGGCUCAAGGUAGGGAAGGAAGCGAGUGGCUUAAUUUUAGAGAGUCCCAGACACUGAGGCUCCUGGGGUAAGAAAUGUGGAAACUUGGGUGAGGAUUGUCUGCCAUUUAUCAUCGAUGUUCUCCAGAGGAGCGGGGGCUGAGUCAGCUGGAGGACUUCCCCAGAAGACUAGAGAAGAUGAGCUUGGAAAACAAACAGAAAUGGAGGGCCCAAGGACCUAUUUGAUUACCUUUGGCUUUGAUCUCCUCACAUAUAGGAUGAGACUAUACCGUUUCCGACAGAGGUUUUUGUUAAAAGGUAAAGGAGAAAAGGUGAAGCCGAUUCCCAUACGUGGGUUGGCCUGAGUAGGUGCGUGUCCAGUGCUCACUGACUGACUCUUCAGGAUGACGGGGUAAAAUGUUUAUAAAAGAAAGUUCUCAGCAAGUCAGGGGGAGAAGACUUUGGCUCACUGUGAUUUCUUUAGAUCUAAAUAGGUUUCUCGCGUCUAUGAGGCUGCCCUUUUCCUUAGGCAAUUCCUCAAUACUCCGCAGGCUCAGAGCAUGUUUGCUAGCUACAGAUGACUACAUUUUACACUCAGCCCCUGGCACCAAAUACUGUGGGGGAAUCGCGUAAUGUACUCUGAAGUAUGGCAUCGUAAGACUUUAGCACUACCACGUCCCUACUCUUUAAAAUUAAGACAGCCUUUGCCCUGGUGUUUCAAAUAAUAUGAGUUGGUUGAAAAUAACUUUUUCUUCUUGUUUUCUCUCAUCUCUUCUCUCUUUUUCUCUUUUGCACCUUUCUUCCCUCUCCUGUUCCUCUCCCUCCCCCCUCCCUCCCUCCCUCCCUCUUCUGCCCUCCCUCUCUCCCCCUCCCCCUUUCCAUCUCCCUCCCCCUCCAGACAUGCUUUUUCUUUAUGAUAAGCCUGGCCUCAAACUCUGGAUGGAUCCUCCUGCCUCACUCUCCCUAAGGCUGGGAUUGUCACACCAGAUGGUGAUAGCUUUAUUAGUUCACUAUGAUCUGAAGCAGAAAGUGAAAGGCUGCAUUCUAAUUUCAUGGAACUAUUCUUAUCAUCACAUUAUUCUAGACCCGACUCUUUACUCAUAGGAACAUACCUAUUGCGCUCUUUAGGUAGCAAUCACAAUAUCCUGUGAGCCCUUUCCAGGCAUGAGGGGUAUUGUCGGCUCUAUAUCAAUACCCAUCAUCAUCCAAAUAAAGAAGUUGAUGCUUUCCCUGCCCCACUGAAGUGCCCUGUAGGUCUCACCAGAGCAUCCUUCCACCCUCCUGACCAGACUCCAGUUUCACUUCUGCCCUUUUCACAACUGUGUGGUAACUGGGAUUUCUUCAUUAACUAUGACCGACCACGAGAUAGACCAUGCUCUGGGAAGGAAUGAGUCAAUUCACAUGGUUUCAAUGCUUGGGGUAGGAUGGGGUGGGGGUCGGUGUGGGAGGUUGGGGCUCCAGUGUGUCAUCAUGUACUCUACCUGCCACCCCCCCAAUCCAGGCCCCUUUCUCCCACACUGGCUUCCUUCUGAACAUCCAUAUAGUGGUAAGAUGGUGGUGCCCACUAGCUCUAGGCCUACACUCUGUCGGCUCAUAUCCAAGAGAAACAGAUCAUACAUCUUUUCUAGUAGCUCCCAGACAAGACCUUUGAUUAAAUUAGCCAGUAGCAUGCCAAUCCUGAACAUACCUAGCUUCUACUACGGAUAUGUCAUCUGGAAUCUAUCGAAACCCUUCUGACACAGUGUUCCCCUGUAUUAGGAUAACAGACCCCAAGGAAAAGUUCCUUUUUCCCAAUGUAGUCCCAACACGAGGAAGACAAAGAUAACUUCUAGUGAUAUACACUGAGAGUUGUAAUGCACUGGGCUCCUCAGUUGUGUGGUACCCAUUUUAUACCUAAAGAAACAGAGGCUUGGAGAAGGGAAGCGGCAGUGAGCUCAGUUUGUGUGUGCUGGGGCCAGACCCAGCUCUGUGGUUCUUUCACUGUGGUGAGGAAAACAAUAUUAUUUGGUCAAAUAGUAUCACAGCUAAGCCACCUGGCCUCUCCCACAGGCUUUACCUCACAGUGCUCUUGUCAGAUGUAAUGGAAAAUUCUCUAUGGACUGAUAGAACUCACAAACACCAGCUCACUGAACCCACCAGCUCACGAAACCUUUGUGUCCUAAACAUGCUUCUGUCGAGCCCCCAAGGGGAAGGAGAAAACUCGAUUUGGCCAGACCAUUCUGAGAGAAACAGAUCAAGUAGUAAAACAGAUUAAGUAAUGAAAGAAGUGGGCAUGUAAUUCUCUGUUGUAUUUUUUUUUCUUUGUAUUUCUGCAGAUGUGUUUUUGAAAGAAUAUCUAUCGUUAUUUAGAAUUUGUUUUAAACUGUAUUCAUUAGUGUGUGUGUGUGUGUGUGUGUGUGUGUGUGUGUGUGUGUGUGUGUGUUCAGGCACACAUGUGUCACAGCACAUACAUGGAGACCAGAGCAGAGGACAACUCCACAGAGUUGGUUUUCUCCUUCCUACUUUAGGCUCCAGAACUUGAACUCAAGUUACCAGUCUUGCACUAUGAACCUUUUAAUCAUGCACCGUCUCAAGGCCCAGUGUGCUCAGAAUCUUGAGAAAAAUAUGAAACACUUUUGGAAAGAUAUUUUGUUGGGACAAGUAAAGUGCAAAGUGUGCUAGGAAGAACAGAGCUCACUGGACAGUCAUGGCUUCCAGCCUGUCUGUGGUGACCUCUGACCCUUCCUACCGCACAGCUUGGACAUGGCUUGCUUUUUCCCCAAGCUUCCCUUUCCCCAGUGGUUCAAGGAAUGGUUUUGAAAGGUUUGUGCCCUUUGGGAUGCAGAAGUAACUCAGUUGGAAGAGUUCCUUGCAUAGCCUUAUAAGGAGCGUGGAUUUGAUCUCCAGCACACGUAAACUAGACAACUCGGUCAGCACUCAGGUGGUAGAGCAAGAGAUUAGACGUUUCAAAUUGGGCUGAAGAGAUGGCUCAGAGGUCCUGAGUUCAAAUCCCAGCAACCACAUGGUGGCUCACAACCAUCUGUAAUGAGAUCUGAUGCCCUCUUCUGGUGUGUCUGAAGACAGCUACAGUGUACUCAUACAAUAAAUAAAUAAAUCUAUUUAAAAAAAAAAGACAUUUAAAGUUACUUCCACUUAUGUAGCUAGUUCCACGCUGCCUCCCUGGCACUAUUAUUUCUCAUCCCGAACCAUUUUUAAAUUUAAUAAACAAGCACACAAACAAAUAAAGGUAGGGUUGAUUGGGAGGUGGCCACAACCCUACACAUGAGCCAGGGGUCAGAUCAAGGGUCUGAAGGAAGACACGAGUUUUCGUUGGCUUUAGAGCAAACUUCUUGUGGGCUGAAGGGAACUGGGGAAUGGGACCCUUGGGGGCUUUCCUGCCUCUGGAAAUGGUGUUGGCUUUGCUUGUUUCCCAGCCAAAGUUUUGAGACUCCAAUGAGAAGCUGCUUGCAAUGUGGCCGAACUCCAGUUUGGAUUCGAAGAAUAUAGGUCAACAGCAAGACACACGAAGGGCCUGCAAAUUGGCUUCCUGGAGGCGAGCUCCCACCCCAGCAUGCUGGAGCUGCUCAUCAUUCCAGGGAUGGCGUCACCCGUAAUGGUCUGCAUUGUCGCCCACCAAUCAUUAAUUAAGUGCCUGAUAGCCAGUUUUUAUGGAAGCAUUUUCUCAAUUGAGGUUCCCUCCUUUCAGAUGAUUCUGGCCUGUGUCAAGAUGACAUAAAACUAGCCAGUGUACCACAUCCCAGAUCCAGGCAGAAUGUGAGUGAAAUUACACCUGUCUCCAUGUCAGCACUUGGGAGCAGUGAGCUGGAUCAGAAUCACAACAAUGGAAACUAUGACAGCCCAGGGCAGACGGAUCAGCCACUGUUGUUAUUGUAUUUGUGGUAAAUGGUGGUGGUAUCAGUUGGUCAGUGCUUCCGUGUGUGUGUGUGUGUGUGUGUGUGUGUGUGUGUGUGUGUGUGUAUACCUGUGUGUGUACCUGUCUCUCUCUCUGUAUGUGUGUGUACCUGUGUAUGUGUGCGUGUGUGUGUACCUGUGUGUGUGUGUGUGUGCGUGUGUGUGUACCUGUGUGUGUGUGUGUGUGUGUGUACCUGUGUGUGUGUACCUGUCUCUCUCUCUGUAUGUGUGUGUACCUGUGUAUGUGUGUGUGUGUGUGUACCUGUGUGUGUGUGUGUGUGUGUGUAUACCUGUGUGUGUACCUGUCUCUCUCUCUGUAUGUGUGUGUACCUGUGUAUGUGUGUGUGUGUGUGUGUACCUGUGUGUGUGUGUGUGUGUGUGUGUGUGUGUGUGUGUACCUGUCUCUCUCUCUGUAUGUGUGUGCUUGCUUUCUGUUCACAUGCUCUCAUUUUCCUCCAGGUUGUGUUCAGCGCACCCUUCUAAAGUGGAGAAGGGACAGUAUUGUCAUAGUGCCUUGCACUUGUGAGCCCACCAUCCUCCCUCCUCAUACAGAUCCCUGUUCUAUGACCCUGAUCCAUAUCCAGAGGGUGGGACUUGGGAGGACCUUAGCAGGCCUCUUGCUUGUGUUUCCCUUUUGCCCUGUUACCUCAAAAAUCUGUGCUCUUCUGCCAGAGGCCAUAGCUCCCAUCACAGGUGUCUCCCUACUGCUCUGUCCUCCUUCCCUCACAGGCUUCACUGGUAAUGAUUGCCUAUCUAUUAAAUAUAUAUUUAUAGAUACUUAAAUAUAUUUAUAUAUGUACCUAGGUAUAUACACAUUAUAUCUAUCUAAAUUUAAGUAAUAAUAAUUUCUUGUUAUCACUGUGUGUGUGUGUGUGUGUGUGUGUGUGUGUGUGUGUGUGUGUGUGUGUGUUAAGCCAGAGGGUAACUCUGGGGCAUUCCUUGUCUCCUUCUACCUUUGUGUAGCUCUGCAUUGAGCUCACUGUCAGGCUUUCAUGGCUGCUGCUUUACACCUGCUGAGCCAUCUCACCAACACAACCUUGUUAGUUUUUUAUACAAAGCAAAUGGCUGAUGGAAAAUGAAUGGCUUCUGUCAUGUAGGUAAUGGUUGUUGAAGCUGCUCCUCCCUUUUUCAGUGUUUAUAGUAGCCUUGGCAGGGAGCAAAGGGAAAAAUUCUACCCACACUUCAAACACAAGGCUAUCAAAGCUGAAGAGACUCCUCCUGGGCUAACGCUGUACCCAAGAGCAAAUAGCCAUGGAGAGCCAAGACCCCUCACUAGGCUCCCUGUGACUCAGCCCUAGCUCCUGUUUUGGAGAGGCUGCAGUGUGACGACCCCAGAGGCUUAAUGGUCUCAGCUUUGGUCACUUUCCCUGACAAUCUGAGUCACCUUUGGGAUUUUCCAAGGCCUACACUCCUGCAGGGUUAAAAGAAAAAGAAAGUCCAAUAUGUUGCAAGUUCAGAAAGCAAUUGAAUGUAUAGUUCUCAUUGGCUCAGGCAUCCUUCUGAGGAAUGAGGGAGCUGAGGGGAAAACAUCAGGAAGUGAGUGUCCCAAGGGAAAUGAGGCCUUCGAGUUGCACAAAGUAACCCUAAUAACCAUUUACACAAGGUUUGUAAAGACCACAAGGGCUUCUGGAUGUGCAGACAGACAUGCCCUGGAGGCCUCUCAUGGGACAUCCCCACCUUUUGUCCUGGUCAGUGCACAGUUCCACUCAGCUCUGAGCCUGACACAUCAAAGGACUCUGACUAGAGGUAUGGAAUGACUGACUUUGGUCCUCACACAGCUCUACUUUAGAAAAGAGGCUGAGAAGUUUCAAAGCAUCUAAGCACCUUGACCAAGGUGAUACUAAAGGAUCCAGUCUUCCUAGACGCUUCCUACCUUUUUGUUUUCCUCAGAGAACCACUUUAUUCAGUUCUGUACAUAUGGGGACAUUGGCCCAAGUCCAACCCACCUUAGCAUGUAUCACUCUGUGGAAAGCACCCUUUGUACACAGCCAAAAGCCGCACUACCUGUGCCCCUGAAUCCUAGCCCAGCCCUCCCCAGUCCUUUGUGUUUCUGAGUGCCUAUAGGGUACAGGUGAGGGCCUGCCCAGGGCCGGCAAAAACAGGGAAAUAGACACUCCAAGGAACCAGGCUUAGACCACUGCUCCUGCUUCCUCCUCUAUAGCUCUGGGAACCAAGAGCACAGGGGAAAGCAGUCAGUCACAAGGUGGUCCCUUCAAACUGUGUGAUCCCAGGAUUGCUGCUUGCCAGAGAGGGCAACGCAGAUGGUUCAUUCUCCCUGCUUGGCACACCGGGCCCCUGUCAUCUAAUGUCCAUAGCAUACUAGUUUGUCCGUCUGUGUUGUCUUGUUUAGGCAUAGGAUGAAAAGGACCACACUCUCCCCCUGCCUGCACAAUGCUAGGCCUAGGGGUCUGUUUGUGCUGCGCAGGAUGGGUCCCCCCAGCUCUUCACACCAGGGGCCACUAGAGCUUAACAUGACUUUGGUGGCACUCUCCUGCUGUACCCUGCAGGAAGAGGAGAGACACAUCAACUUCAGAUGAGGAUGACGGGGAGGGGAGGGGAACAGGUGAUCCCUGUGUGUAUUUUUCAGAACAGUCUUAGGUAGCUGUGGGGUUAGGAGCAGGGGGACAGGCACCCCCAGAUUGUCUAAGCACUGAGCACUCAGUGCUCAGCCUGUCUGUACUGGCCACAGGGAGGCAUGGGGGUACGGGAGAAGAGGGAGCACGGUGGGCAUCCCUGCUUCCAAUGCCUGCAUCCUCUAGAGUAGCCGGAGAGGUGCUGUUUUGUUUCGUCUUGUUUUCCUUCUCUCUCUCUCUCUCUCUCUCUCUCUCUCUCUCUCUCUCUCUCUCUCUCUCCCUGUCUUCCUUCCUUCCUUCCUUUCUUUCUUUCUUUCUUUCUUUCUUUCUUUCUUUCUUUCUUUCUUUCUUUUUCUCUUUCUUUCUGUUUGUUUGAGACAGAGUUCUUUGUGUUGCUUUAGCUGUCCUGGAACUUGAUCUAUAGACCAGGCUGGCUUCAAACUUACAGAGAUCCUCCAGCCUCUGCUUCCCUCUGAUCUCCAAUCUCUGCUGGGAUUAAAGGUGUGUAUCACCACCCGGCUGUUUUCUUUUUAUUGUGUACAAAACCAGACUGUGGUAUGUUUCUUUAUUGAAUAUAUGCCUGGCACACAGUGGAGCAGCCACACAGAUGUCCCCCGCUUUCUCCUGGUGGAUAGUUUAGUCUAACCUCUGCUCUCACUGGUGCCCCAGGGUUACAUUCUGCAAAGGGUUCACAGAGCUGGGACUCUUGCCAAAGUGAGAGAAAUGAAGAGAGAAAGGGGAGCUGGAGGAUGUAGCUCAACAGUGGAAAUGCUCACCCUCACGUGCAAACCGUUGGGCCCAUCCCUGACAAUGAGGAGAAAGAGAGGAGAAAACAAAGGGUGGAGACUGUCGGGCUGAGGAUCUGGGAACAGUUGUUACAGGCAGGGGAGAGGAAAAGCCAUGCUCUGUAAGGAAGCCCAGAGCCAACCCCAUGCCCCAGCUCCCUAUACACGAACAGCUCUACUGCUGUACUUCAGGGCUGGCUCAAGGAUUUCUCCAGACUUCUUGCCCCUCUCCCACAUACUCCCAUUCCUGCAACCAUCCCUCAAAUGUUCUUAAUGAUGUUAACUCCUUUGUCUGUUAGCAUGUGCGCCUCUUCUUCAAGUCAGGCAGAAGGAAGAUGGGCUUCUGGAGGUCACUUGAAACCUUUGGUAAUAUAGAAGAAGCUGGAGUUGAUGGAGAUAACAAAUUUGUUCCAAAUCACACAUGGAAAAGUGGCACAGCAAGGGAAAGACCCAGACAUUUGGAUGUGGCGUUUAUGUGGCAGCCUGAGGAGUGACACAUACUGUAUGGGGCUUACAGCCUGAUUCUGCCACUUAUUACCUGAGUGAUGCUGGGCAAGCCCCUGAUGGUCUGGACCUCAAUUUUCUUACCUGUGCAAUGGGUAUAAUGAUACCUUCUCCAUAGGAAGCAGACAUUGGAGAAGAAAGAGCCUAGUCUAGCUCUGGGCUAAAUAUAAGCCUCCUUCCUUUGUCCCCCCACCUUUCACAGAAUGAACUUUUGAACCAGACAGGCUUGGGCCCAAAUCUUCUAAGAACUUGGAAAGAAACAUUAACUUCAGCCUGGUUUUCAUAUGUAUAAAGUCAUGAUGACUGGCCAGGCUGGCACAUGCCUAUAAUUUCAACAUUCAAAAGAAUGAAGCAAGGAGGGUCAUAAGUUCAAGGCCAGUUCAGGCUACAGAGCAAGAAUAUGUUUCAGACAGAAAAGAAAAGUCAUGGUCUCUGUACAAGAAGGAGCACAUCAAGGGUGCCUUGAGGAAGCCACAGAGAUCAGAGACAUGAGGUGGAUCCUCUGGACAGUGCUGACCUUCUCUCCCCUCCUCUAGGGCCCACCCUGCCAGUUAAGCAACCUCGAAUGAGACUCUGUGUUCAACCUCCUAUUCUGCCCCAGAAGCAGACUCCCUCCAAGGUUCAGUGAAGAGCUAGGGGCAGAGACACUCCCUUUCAGCUCUUAGGCCAGUUGAGGACAUGGAUCCCUUGGGGGCAUCAGGCCCAGAGGCUAUGUGAAAGUCAUAGCUAAUCCAGGCCGGCCUUUGGCAGCGCUUUCCUGGGCAGGAGUAAGCAUGACGUUAUUCAGAAAGACACGUAGGUUUAAACCACUUUCUUCAAACCAGCAGUCCUGCUGCCUCCCGACAGUCCUUCCAGGAAAAACACAUCAGUUUUCAACAAGAAAUGAAGCUUUGGGAAAGCUUAUUGUACACAGUUCAGGCCUCCAGAGACAUUCAGGGCCCCAUUUGGAGUCAGAAGCUGAAAUGUCACCAUUGGUCCUGUCUUCCCCAGAGGAAUAGAGUUGCUUGUUUCAAAUCAGACAAAGGCAGUACACACCAGGCAUCUCUAAUGACCUGUUUCUUAAUAAGCAUGUAUCACACACAAGCAACCUACGCCCUGGAAGCCUCGUCUUCUUACUGUAAAGUAUGAACUAUCAUAUCACCUCAAAGGUGGAGAUGAGGUUCAAAGUAAGCACAUUAAUGAAUUAGGUUGAGCCACAUGCAAUCUCAAUUAUUGAGGCUCAAAGGUUAGAUUACUAGAAAUCUCUUAUGAUUGCUUGUGCUACUAGAGGCCUAGCAUAAUUGGAGAGGCUCUAAACUGAGCCAUUUUUUAGUGUCUCUCAAACAUUAUGAAACACAGGGAAUGGUUGGGAUGGUGGGGGCUGUGUGAAAAGGUCUCAUUCGGAAGCUUUGUGGAUGUCUAUCUGCAUUGUCUGUCAAUGUGACACAACCUAGAGUCAUCUCAGACAAAAGACUUGGUUGAAGAAUCGCCUAAAUCAGAUUGGUUGGCCUAUGGUAGGAUUAUUGAUUAUUAAUUGAUAUAGGACUGGCCCAGUCUAUGGUAUCAUCCCUCAGUAGUGGACCUGAGCUAUGUAAGAACUAACCAAGGGCCUGGAGCAACGGCUUAGCUGUGAAGAGUAUUUACUGUUCUUGCAGAGGACCUAAGAAAGUCCAGUUCCUAGCUCCUACAUGAUGGCCAACAACUGUCUAAAUCUAAUUCCAAAGAAUCUGAUGCCCUCUUCUGACUUCUGUAGGCACCAAGUGUGAGCAUGGUAUAAUACAUACACAGAGGCAAAACAUUCACAUGCAUAAAAUAAAUAUGUCUAAAAACAAGCAAGCAAGAAAGCAAGCGAGGUAAGUAUAAGCAUGCCAGUCACUGACAAGUAGGAUUUGUCAUGAUUCCUGCUUAUCUGCUUAUCUUUUUUUGCCAAUUUUACACAAGCAAGCGUCAACUAAGAAGAGGUAGCUCAAUUGAAAAAAUUAAAAGUCUCUAUCAGAUUGUUUGCGUGAAAAGUCUUUGGAAUGUCUUCCUGAUUAAUGAUUGAUGUAGGAGGGCCCAGCCCACUGUGGGCAGUGUCGUCCCCGAAUAGGUGGUUCAGCGUUGUAUAUGAAAGCAGAUUGCAAAUACAUAAAUAAAUAAAUAAAUAAAUAAAUAAAUAAAUAAAUGAAGGAAACAGGUUGUAGAGGCGAUGGGGAGCAAGCCUGUAAACAGCAUCCCUCCAGAUUCCUGCCUUGGCUUCCCCGUAUGUAACUGUAACCUAUGAGACAAAUAAACCUUUUCCUCCCCAG
Rattus norvegicus (Norway rat) is the source of this 13350-nucleotide non-coding RNA. Lineage: Eukaryota; Metazoa; Chordata; Mammalia; Rodentia; Muridae. The record is from RefSeq and is a predicted model, not a curated record.